Molecule: long non-coding RNA, 316 nt
Filed under: Zonotrichia albicollis (white-throated sparrow)
Lineage: Eukaryota; Metazoa; Chordata; Aves; Passeriformes; Passerellidae
Description: lncRNA (ENSZALG00000014054.1)
Source: RNAcentral
CUCCCUUUGUGGCCUAUCACGUCUGGCCUCCUCUGGUAGAAGAUGGCACUGUUAUAGUGAAAGGAGAAGUAGUCACUAAAAAAAUGGUUAUGUGUCCUCGCAGAUGCAGGAUUAGAAGCAGAAGCUGCAGCUGUGGCCGUCCUCUGCUGUGUGGUCAAGUGCCUCGAAGCCGCAGUCUUUCAACAGUGAGGGUCAGAAGGCGCUGCUAACUGGACAUCUUCCUGCAGUGCAACACAACUGGAUUCAACAACUUUGCUGGUGUCGUUUCUCUUCGGAAAUACCUCAAAUCUCUCAAUAAAUGGCGGUUGUCACUCCA